This 429-nucleotide ribosomal RNA is filed under the name Actinomycetes bacterium. Its description in RNAcentral is "Actinobacteria bacterium partial 16S ribosomal RNA". It matches the Rfam family "Bacterial small subunit ribosomal RNA", at positions 355 to 776 of the family's 1533-position model. The record is from RNAcentral. Lineage: Bacteria; Bacillati; Actinomycetota; Actinomycetes.
UAGGGAAUCUUCCGCAAUGGGCGAAAGCCUGACGGAGCAACGCCGCGUGAGUGAUGAAGGUCUUCGGAUCGUAAAACUCUGUUAUUAGGGAAGAACAAAUGUGUAAGUAACUAUGCACGUCUUGACGGUACCUAAUCAGAAAGCCACGGCUAACUACGUGCCAGCAGCCGCGGUAAUACGUAGGUGGCAAGCGUUAUCCGGAAUUAUUGGGAGUAAAGCGCGCGUAGGCGGUUUUUUAAGUCGGAUGUGAAAGCCCACGGCUCAACCGUUAAGGGUCAUUGGAAACUUGAAAACUUGAGUGCAGAAGAGGAAAGUGGAAUUCCGUGUGUAGCGGUUAAAUGCGCAGCGAUAUGGGGGAACACCAGUGGCGAAAGCGACUUUCUGGUCUGUAACUGACGCUGAUGUGCGAAGGCGUGGGGAUCAAACAGG